GACGAACGCUGGCGGCGUGCUUAACACAUGCAAGUCGAACGGAAAGGCCCUGCUUUUGUGGGGUGCUCGAGUGGCGAACGGGUGAGUAACACGUGAGUAACCUGCCCUUGACUUUGGGAUAACUUCAGGAAACUGGGGCUAAUACCGGAUAGGAGCUCCUGCUGCAUGGUGGGGGUUGGAAAGUUUCGGCGGUUGGGGAUGGACUCGCGGCUUAUCAGCUUGUUGGUGGGGUAGUGGCUUACCAAGGUUUUGACGGGUAGCCGGCCUGAGAGGGUGACCGGCCAAAUUGGGACUGGGAUACGGCCCAGACUCCUACGGGAGGAAGCAGUGGGGAAUAUUGCAAAAUGGGCGGAAGCCGGAUGCAGCAACGCCGCGUGCGGGAUGACGGCCUUCGGGUUGUAAACCGCUUUCGCCUGUGACGAAGCGUGAGUGACGGUAAUGGGUAAAGAAGCACCGGCUAACUACGUG
RNAcentral lists this ribosomal RNA (468 nucleotides) under uncultured bacterium. RNAcentral's name for it is "partial 16S ribosomal RNA". It matches the Rfam family "Bacterial small subunit ribosomal RNA", at positions 28 to 507 of the family's 1533-position model. The record is from RNAcentral.